UGGCGUAAUAACUAUUUUGAGCGG
RNAcentral lists this non-coding RNA (24 nucleotides) under Arabidopsis thaliana (thale cress). Lineage: Eukaryota; Viridiplantae; Streptophyta; Magnoliopsida; Brassicales; Brassicaceae. The record is from RNAcentral.